Non-coding RNA from Plectropomus leopardus (leopard coralgrouper), 473 nucleotides. The record is from RefSeq and is a predicted model, not a curated record. Lineage: Eukaryota; Metazoa; Chordata; Actinopteri; Perciformes; Serranidae.
AUCCAGUGGUGUAACAGCGUUACUGCAGGCUGUAAUGCUUCAUCAUCACAUGGCUCCAUUCAGUCGAUGAACAAAGAGCAACACAGAGCAACACAGAGCAACACAGAGCAACAGCUCCACCUGCUGACUCAGAGCUGCGCCUGCAUCCUGCUGAAUUUGGAUAUGUCAGCAACAAAUGACCACGAUGAGCAUCUUAAUUAAAUCCAGCUGCUGCAGGAAGCAGCCAAACCUGCAUCUCGCUGCGUUCCAACAAGCAGACCACCCACGCACGAGGCCGAGGUGAGGAGGCAUCAGCCAGCCCGUGUUUUCAGCUCACAGGUGAACACAGAACAGACUGGAAGUCAUUUCAGGAAGAAAUUAACACAGGAGUCUAAUACUCUAAUGCUCCCACACAGCAAAUUGGAUUCGUGCGCUUCACUGCCUCUGAGUAUCAGUGUGUUGCAGGACACAAAGCCUCCUGCAGCAAGUGAGGA